Maniola jurtina (meadow brown) is the source of this 2715-nucleotide long non-coding RNA. RefSeq lists it as uncharacterized. The transcript has 2 exons. The record is from RefSeq and is a predicted model, not a curated record. Lineage: Eukaryota; Metazoa; Arthropoda; Insecta; Lepidoptera; Nymphalidae.
AUCUUUUUUUAAAUAAAUAAAUGGUAUUCGAUUUUUAAAACCAAGGAGUUUUCAAUUAAAAAGAUUUUAAUAUGACAGGGACAGUGGAAAUAUUCCAUUCCCGAUACUUUUAGUGCAGCCUAUGUAUCUUCACGAUGUAAGCAGUCCAACCUAGCUGCACAGGGGCUCGCAGGAAUCCGGUGAUCUUGCAAGUUUCCCCGACACCCGUCGCCCGACACCCGACACACGACACCCGACGACGACCGCGCGAGCAGGAGCGCGCUGCGCUGGGUCGCAGAGGGGAGGGUGUAAUACUGGCAAAUUAUUUUGACGAUUUAAAAAACACCUGUAAAACUUUAUUAGAAUAAAAAUAUAUUCAAACACGACUUCACGCUGCGAGUGGUUAAUGGCGUCCCGCUAGUGGUCUAAUGCAAAAAUGUACUUACGAUUAGUUAUCGAAUUAAGGUCUACUACACACUAUACAGACGAUGUGUCACCCGAAACAUGACGCGCGACAACACCACCGCGCCGUGCGAAUGUGUAAACGCAUCUUUAUAUCACACCGAUGUGUAGCGCAGCUCAACCUCCGUGAGCGCUCCGACUGUACUGCGCAUCUGCAACUGUGCGGUGUUGCAGCAGUGCUCGCUGCGCGCGCGCCGCCCGCGCGGCCGCGGACACGCCCUAUUCCAUUUCUCUGUGAUUCGCUUUAACAAAAUAAAAGCAUACCUCUGUUAUAGUUCAGAAGAGAACUGUUAGAUCAUAAGUUUAGUGUACGGAGAGUUCAUAGUUGACGCUAUACGAGUAUGACGGGAGAAAUUGUUUGUUCUGUAGGCAGAGGCACGGACAGAGUCCAUUUUCUGAUGAUCGAUGGAACAAAAAGAUCGAGUUGUAUGGAACUGGCAUUUUGAAGAGUCGUCGUUCCGUACACUUCGGUCCCUCCACUCGCAUCGGCGUUUUGGACACCGACGAGUGUCGUUAUGAGUUCGUGUGGCGUGCGACAGGAAGCCUCCGGGCUCCUGUCCGUGCGUCCUCUUGCGACGCGACAGUCGCGACACGCACGUCGCGAUCGCUCACUCUACGAUCUACCAUCCACAUGCACGAGCCUACAGAAAGUGUAUUCGGUCCUGAAGUCCAGUUCCGUCAAGUGACGAGAGUCGCCCCGUGCCAAAUAGUUGUAAGCGGACGAUGCGGAGCUCGAAGUGGCUCGAAGGCUCGGAACUACUACAGUUUGUUUACUAUCUCAUCAUAAGUAAUAGGUACUUAUUUUCUCAGAAUAUUAUGUUCCAAUCUUGUCCUAAAUAAGAAUUUUUAAAUAUUAAUUUACAAAUUUCAAUUCAAUUACAAAUCAGUGCUAGCCCCUUCUUGUAAUCUCAGGCGAACCUAAUACGUAAUUUUGAUAAGUACCUAACAGUAUAUAAUUUGAGAUCAUGAACGCAUAACUAACAAGUGAGAAAUACUUACUAUUAUCUGUUCCGAUGAUAUGAUAUAUGAUGAUAUGAGUAGAUAUUUUAAAUUAUAAUGAUUGUUUAAUGUUUUUAUUGGAGUAGUUUCGGGUCCGAGUAACCUGGCCGUGUGUUCGGCGCCAGGUCGCGGUAUGUAAUUAUAUGUAUGUAACUAGCGUGUGUUCGCCAGACAAUACUGACGAAGCUCUUCAUUCGGGAAAUAGACAAUAAGAGAUAAUACGUCUUGUUCCGUUUAUUCACCCUAUGGCGGCUCCUGGGGUGUGCACUCGGAGACGUGCGUCCGUUCAGCCCGGCGCGGGCGCGGGCGCGCGCCGACCGAGUGUACACCCCUGCAGGGUGGCUGUUGUAGGUUGCGUAGUACGCACUACAACUGAACUGCACGUGACUGCACUACGCGGCACAGAGCGGCAAAAUAUUCUUUCUAUCGUUUUGUUUGGAGCAUACUGCAGUAUACUAUGCGUACGGCGCUCACAUGCGAUGCACGUGCUUUGGGUUAGGUAAUAUGUGUGUUGGCGUGAUAGAACGCAAAAUAAAUAACGAAAUUUUAAUUUUUGGCACAUGACGUGUUCCUUAUGCUUUUAGAAAUAUAUCCUCAAAAUUGCCAACCCCUAGGAUGCCCCUAGGAACAAUGAAGUAAUAAUAAAAGCCUCUUCACUGUCGCUCAUCUUGCGACGUUGUUGCUCGUACGCGAACGGGUAUAGAAGUGACGUGGACGUGACGCGAGCUGCCGCGUACUGCAGUUGUAGUGCGAUAGGUACCGUGAGCGGCAUGAAAGGACUUGCCGCGCAGUUCCGCUGCAGUUCAGUUAUAGUACGUGGCCACCUUUAUACUAGACUAAGUACGAUGAUCGGCCGAGUCGCGAGUCCCGCGUGACGUCACCCGGGCGUCGGCAGUGGGAAUCGGUCGACGUCACACUGAGCGCGCGGGACACGCGAGUCCCGCGUGAUGUCACACUCGGCGCGCGGGACACGCGAGUCCCGCGUGAUGUCACACUCGGCGCGCGGGACACGCGAGUCCCGCGUGACGUCACACUCGGCGCGCGGGACACGCGAGUCCCGCGUGAUGUCACACUCGGCGCGCGGGACACGCGAGUCCCGCGUGACGUCACACUCGGCGCGCGGGACACGCGAGUCCCGCGUGACGUCACACUCGGCGCGCGGGACACGCGAGUCUCGCGUGACGUCACACUGGGCGCGCGGGACGGCUGACUCGCGCCCUCUUCACGAAACCUAUUUAUUAAGACUAAAGCAAUAAAGUGAUAUUUUUGUACUAA